Molecule: ribosomal RNA, 301 nt
Filed under: uncultured bacterium
Lineage: Bacteria
Description: partial 16S ribosomal RNA
Rfam family: Bacterial small subunit ribosomal RNA
Source: RNAcentral
CAGCCGCGGUAAUACGUAGGGUGCAAGCGUUAAUCGGAAUUACUGGGCGUAAAGCGUGCGCAGGCGGUUAUAUAAGACAGAUGUGAAAUCCCCGGGCUCAACCUGGGAACUGCAUUUGUGACUGUAUAGCUAGAGUACGGCAGAGGGGGAUGGAAUUCCGCGUGUAGCAGUGAAAUGCGUAGAUAUGCGGAGGAACACCGAUGGCGAAGGCAAUCCCCUGGGCCUGUACUGACGCUCAUGCACGAAAGCGUGGGGAGCAAACAGGAUUAGAUACCCCAGUAGUCCCUGUCUCUUAUACACA